GAAACCGAGUCUUAAUUGGGCGUUAAGUUGCAGGGUAUAGACCCGAAACCCGGUGAUCUAGCCAUGGGCAGGUUGAAGGUUGGGUAACACUAACUGGAGGACCGAACCGACUAAUGUUGAAAAAUUAGCGGAUGACCUGUGGCUGGGGGUGAAAGGCCAAUCAAACCGGGAGAUAGCUGGUUCUCCCCGAAAGCUAUUUAGGUAGCGCCUCGUGAAUUCAUCUCCGGGGGUAGAGCACUGUUUCGGCUAGGGGGCCAUCCCGGCUUACCAACCCGAUGCAAACUGCGAAUACCGGAGAAUGUUAUCACGGGAGACACACGGCGGGUGCUAACGUCCGUCGUGAAGAGGGAAACAACCCAGACCGCCAGCUAAGGUCCCAAAGUCAUGGUUAAGUGGGAAACGAUGUGGGAAGGCCCAGACAGCCAGGAUGUUGGCUUAGAAGCAGCCAUCAUUUAAAGAAAGCGUAAUAGCUCACUGGUCGAGUCGGCCUGCGCGGAAGAUGUAACGGGGCUAAACCAUGCACCGAAGCUGCGGCAGCGAACGUAUCACCCAAGACAACUUUACGGAGUUGACGAUUGACGGAGCGAAGCGACGUCAAAGCGUUCAUUAAAGUCGAGUUGGCUUAGGGAUACGUUCGUUGGGUAGGGGAGCGUUCUGUAAGCCUGUGAAGGUGUGUCGUGAGGCAUGCUGGAGGUAUCAGAAGUGCGAAUGCUGACAUAAGUAACGAUAAAGCGGGUGAAAAGCCCGCUCGCCGGAAGACCAAGGGUUCCUGUCCAACGUUAAUCGGGGCAGGGUGAGUCGACCCCUAAGGCGAGGCCGAAAGGCGUAGUCGAUGGGAAACGGGUUAAUAUUCCCGUACUUGGUGUUACUGCGAAGGGGGGACGGAGAAGGCUAUGUUGGCCGGGCGACGGUUGUCCCGGUUUAAGCGUGUAGGUGUGUGUUCCAGGUAAAUCCGGUUCACUUUAACACUGAGGCGUGACGACGAGGCACUACGGUGCUGAAGCAACAAAUGCCCUGCUUCCAGGAAAAGCCUCUAAGCAUCAGGUAACAUCAAAUCGUACCCCAAACCGACACAGGUGGUCAGGUAGAGAAUACCAAGGCGCUUGAGAGAACUCGGGUGAAGGAACUAGGCAAAAUGGUGCCGUAACUUCGGGAGAAGGCACGCUGACACGUAGGUGAAGUGAUUUACUCAUGGAGCUGAAGUCAGUCGAAGAUACCAGCUGGCUGCAACUGUUUAUUAAAAACACAGCACUGUGCAAACACGAAAGUGGACGUAUACGGUGUGACGCCUGCCCGGUGCCGGAA
RNAcentral lists this ribosomal RNA (1305 nucleotides) under Salmonella enterica subsp. enterica serovar Typhimurium. Its description in RNAcentral is "partial 23S ribosomal RNA". It matches the Rfam family "Bacterial large subunit ribosomal RNA", at positions 673 to 1874 of the family's 2925-position model. Lineage: Bacteria; Pseudomonadati; Pseudomonadota; Gammaproteobacteria; Enterobacterales; Enterobacteriaceae. The record is from RNAcentral.